Molecule: ribosomal RNA, 1270 nt
Filed under: metagenome
Description: SSU rRNA
Rfam family: Eukaryotic small subunit ribosomal RNA
Source: RNAcentral
AAUCCUUUAACGAGGAUCUAUUGGAGGGCAAGUCUGGUGCCAGCAGCCGCGGUAAUUCCAGCUCCAAUAGCGUAUAUUAAUUUUGUUGCGGUUAAAAAGCUCGUAGUUGGAUCUCGGUUUCGGGCGAGCGGUGUACCUUGCGGUAUUUACUGUUUGCCCGGACGAUUUUGUUGGUUCGUUUAUGGUUCUCUUAACCGAGUGCCAUAAGUGGCCAGCACGUUUACUUUGAAAAAAUUGGAGUGCUCAAAGCAGGCGCUACAGCCUGAACAUUAGUGCAUGGAAUAAUGGAAUAGGAUCUCGGUUCUAUUUCGUUGGCUUUCGGAGUCGAGGUAAUGAUUAAUAGGGACAGACGGGGGCAUUCGUACUGCGACGUUAGAGGUGAAAUUCUUGGAUCGUCGCAAGACGAACUACUGCGAAAGCAUUUGCCAAGAAUGUUUUCAUUAAUCAAGAAAAGUUAGAGGUUCGAAGGCGAUCAGAUACCGCCCUAGUUCUAACCAUAAACGAUGUCGACCGGCGAUCCGUUAUCGUUAACUGAAUGACUUAACGGGCAGCCUCCGGGAAACCAGAGUGUUUGGAUUCCGGGGGAAGUAUGGUUGCAAAGCUGAAACUUAAAGGAAUUGACGGAAGGGCACCACCAGGAGUGGAGCCUGCGGCUUAAUUUGACCCAACACGGGAAAUCUCACCAGGCCCGGACACCGGAAGGAUUGACAGAUUGAGAGCUCUUUCUUGAUUCGGUGGGUGGUGGUGCAUGGCCGUUCUUAGUUGGUGGAGCGAUUUGUCUGGUUAAUUCCGAUAACGAACGAGACUCUGGCCUACUAACUAGACGUUAGAUCCCUUUGUGGGUCUAUCGCAGCUUCUUAGAGGGACGGGCGGCGUUUAGCCGCACGAGAUUGAGCAAUAACAGGUCUGUGAUGCCCUUAGAUGUUCUGGGCUGCACGCGCGCUACACUGAAGGAAUCAGCGUGUGUUCCCUACCCGAAAGGGUUGGGAAACCCGUUGAACCUCCUUCGUGAUGGGGAUUGGGGAUUGCAAUUAUUCCCCAUGAACGAGGAAUUCCCAGUAAGCGCGAGUCAUAAGCUUGCGCUGAUUACGUCCCUGCCCUUUGUACACACCGCCCGUCGCUACUACCGAUCGAGUGAUUUAGUGAGGCCUUCGGACUGGUCUUCAGUAUGGCUUUCGGGUCGUGUUGGAGUACCGGAAAGAUGACCAAACUUGAUCACUUAGAGGAAGUAAAAGUCGUAACAAGGUUUCCGUAGGUGAUCCUGCGGAAG